GCACCUGUGGCUCAAAGGAGUAGGGCACCGACCUCAUAAGCCGGAGGUGGCAGGUUCAAACCCAGAUGCA
RNAcentral lists this transfer RNA (70 nucleotides) under Otolemur garnettii (small-eared galago). It matches the Rfam family "tRNA". From Rfam's summary of the family: Transfer RNA (tRNA) molecules are approximately 80 nucleotides in length. Lineage: Eukaryota; Metazoa; Chordata; Mammalia; Primates; Galagidae. The record is from Rfam by way of RNAcentral.